RNAcentral lists this transfer RNA (65 nucleotides) under Chinaocerus tubulatus. Its description in RNAcentral is "tRNA-Thr". The record is from RNAcentral. Lineage: Eukaryota; Metazoa; Arthropoda; Insecta; Hemiptera; Cicadellidae.
GUUUUAAUAAUUUAAUAAAAAUAUUAACUUUGUAAGUUAAAAUUAGAUAGUAAUUCUUUAAAACA